This 756-nucleotide ribosomal RNA is filed under the name Salmonella enterica. Its description in RNAcentral is "partial 23S ribosomal RNA". It matches the Rfam family "Bacterial large subunit ribosomal RNA", at positions 2048 to 2802 of the family's 2925-position model. Lineage: Bacteria; Pseudomonadati; Pseudomonadota; Gammaproteobacteria; Enterobacterales; Enterobacteriaceae. RNAcentral also lists the same sequence under 1 other name. The record is from RNAcentral.
CUCGCUGUGAAGAUGCAGUGUACCCGCGGCAAGACGGAAAGACCCCGUGAACCUUUACUAUAGCUUGACACUGAACAUUGAGCCUUGAUGUGUAGGAUAGGUGGGAGGCUUUGAAGCGUGGACGCCAGUCUGCGUGGAGCCGACCUUGAAAUACCACCCUUUAAUGUUUGAUGUUCUAACGUGGACCCGUUACCCGGGUUGCGGACAGUGUCUGGUGGGUAGUUUGACUGGGGCGGUCUCCUCCUAAAGAGUAACGGAGGAGCACGAAGGUUGGCUAAUCCUGGUCGGACAUCAGGAGGUUAGUGCAAUGGCAUAAGCCAGCUUGACUGCGAGCGUGACGGCGCGAGCAGGUGCGAAAGCAGGUCAUAGUGAUCCGGUGGUUCUGAAUGGAAGGGCCAUCGCUCAACGGAUAAAAGGUACUCCGGGGAUAACAGGCUGAUACCGCCCAAGAGUUCAUAUCGACGGCGGUGUUUGGCACCUCGAUGUCGGCUCAUCACAUCCUGGGGCUGAAGUAGGUCCCAAGGGUAUGGCUGUUCGCCAUUUAAAGUGGUACGCGAGCUGGGUUUAGAACGUCGUGAGACAGUUCGGUCCCUAUCUGCCGUGGGCGCUGGAGAACUGAGGGGGGCUGCUCCUAGUACGAGAGGACCGGAGUGGACGCAUCACUGGUGUUCGGGUUGUCAUGCCAAUGGCACUGCCCGGUAGCUAAAUGCGGAAGAGAUAAGUGCUGAAAGCAUCUAAGCACGAAACUUGCCCCGA